CCUACGGGUGGCAGCAGUGAGGAAUAUUGGUCAAUGGGCGAGAGCCUGAACCAGCCAAGUCGCGUGAAGGAUGACGGCCCUACGGGUUGUAAACUUCUUUUGUCAGGGAGCAAUUGAGUCCACGUGUGGUCUUAGCGAGAGUACCUGAAGAAAAAGCAUCGGCUAACUCCGUGCCAGCAGCCGCGGUAAUACGGAGGAUGCGAGCGUUAUCCGGAUUUAUUGGGUUUAAAGGGAGCGUAGACGGCGAAGAAAGUCUGAAGUGAAAGCCCGCGGCUCAACCGCGGAACUGCUUUGGAAACUUUUUUGCUGGAGUACCGGAGAGGUAAGCGGAAUUCCUAGUGUAGCGGUGAAAUGCGUAGAUAUUAGGAGGAACACCAGUGGCGAAGGCGGCUUACUGGACGGUAACUGACGUUGAGGCUCGAAAGCGUGGGGAGCAAACAGGAUUAGAUACCCUAGUAGUC
RNAcentral lists this ribosomal RNA (461 nucleotides) under uncultured bacterium. Its description in RNAcentral is "partial 16S ribosomal RNA". It matches the Rfam family "Bacterial small subunit ribosomal RNA", at positions 338 to 795 of the family's 1533-position model. The record is from RNAcentral.